GACGAACGCUGGCGGCGUGCUUAACACAUGCAAGUCGAACGGAAAGGCCUGCUUUCCCUUGUGGAUUGCGGGUACUCGAGUGGCGAACGGGUGAGUAACACGUGAGUGAUCUGCCCCCAACUUGGGUAUAAGCCUGGGAAACUGGGUCUAAUUCCCGAUAGGACUGCAGGGUGGUGCCUGUGGUGGAAAACGAUUUUCUAGUGGUUGGGGAUGAGCUCGCGGCCUAUCAGCUUGUUGGUGGGGUAAUGGCCUACCAAGGCGGCGACGGGUAGCCGGCCUGGGAGGGUGGACGGCCACAUUGGGACUGAGAUACGGCCCAGACUCCUACGGGAGGCAGCAGUGGGGAAUAGUGCACAAUGGGCGGAAGCCUGAGGCAGCGACGCCGCGUGGGGGAUGACGGCCUUCGGGUUGUAAACUCCUUUCGACCGCGAGGAAGCCACCUGGUUGGAAGGGUGGUGACGGUAGUGGUAGAAGAAGCACCGGCUAACUACGUG
RNAcentral lists this ribosomal RNA (494 nucleotides) under uncultured bacterium. RNAcentral's name for it is "partial 16S ribosomal RNA". It matches the Rfam family "Bacterial small subunit ribosomal RNA", at positions 28 to 507 of the family's 1533-position model. The record is from RNAcentral.